GGGGCUGUGGCUGAAUGGUAGAACAUCGGUUUUACAUGCCGAAGGCCCCAGGUUCAAUCCCCGACAUCUUCA
Molecule: transfer RNA, 72 nt
Filed under: Sphaerodactylus townsendi
Lineage: Eukaryota; Metazoa; Chordata; Lepidosauria; Squamata; Sphaerodactylidae
Description: tRNA-Val
Rfam family: tRNA
About the family: Transfer RNA (tRNA) molecules are approximately 80 nucleotides in length. Their secondary structure includes four short double-helical elements and three loops (D, anti-codon, and T loops).
Source: RNAcentral